Molecule: ribosomal RNA, 1531 nt
Filed under: uncultured bacterium
Lineage: Bacteria
Description: 16S ribosomal RNA
Rfam family: Bacterial small subunit ribosomal RNA
Source: RNAcentral
AAGAGUUUGAUCCUGGCUCAGGACGAACGUUGGCGGCGUGCUUAACACAUGCAAGUCGAGCGGUUGAGAAGUGGGAGUUGAGAAGUUAGAAGUGAGAGAAAGAUCGAGCGGCGGACGGGUGAGUAACGCGUGGAUAAUCUGCCUGUAAGACAGGGAUAACGCCGGGAAACCGGUGCUAAUACCGGAUAACCUCUUUGAACCGCAUGAUUUAAAGAGAAAAGGUGGCCUCUUUACAAUGCUACCACUUACAGAUGAAUCCGCGUCCCAUUAGCCAGUUGGUGGGGUAAUGGCCUACCAAAGCGACGAUGGGUAGCCGGCCUGAGAGGGUGACCGGCCACACUGGAACUGAGAUACGGUCCAGACUCCUACGGGAGGCAGCAGUGGGGAAUCUUCCGCAAUGGGCGAAAGCCUGACGGAGCAACGCCGCGUGAGCGAAGAAGGUUUUCGGAUUGUAAAGCUCUGUGAUAUUGGACGAACGAUUUCCCGUAAAUAAUGGGAAAGAAUGACGGUACAAUAAGAGGAAGCCACGGCUAACUACGUGCCAGCAGCCGCGGUAAUACGUAGGUGGCAAAACGUGUUCCGGAAUUACUGGGCGUAAAGGGCGAGUAGGUGGUUUAUUAAGUCAGAAGUGAAAACUCCAGGCUCAACUUGGAGACUGCUUCUGAAACUGGUAGACUUGAGUGCAAGAGAGGGAAGUGGAAUUCCUAGUGUAGCGGUGAAAUGCGUAGAUAUUAGGAGGAACACCAGUGGCGAAGGCGACUUCCUGGCUUGUAACUGACACUGAGGCGCGAAAGCGUGGGGAUCAAACAGGAUUAGAUACCCUGGUAGUCCACGCCGUAAACGAUGAGUGCUAGGUGUCGGGGGUAAAAACUCGGUGCCGCAGCUAACGCAAUAAGCACUCUGGGGGGGGAGUUCGCAAGACUGAAACUCAAAGGAAUUGACGGGGGCCCGCACAAGCGGUGGAGUAUGUGGUUUAAUUCGACGCAACGCGAAGAACCUUACCAAGGCUUGACAUCCUGUGACAGCUAUAGAAAUAUAGACUUCUUAGUUUACUAAGACACAGAGACAGGUGGUGCAUGGUUGUCGUCAGCUCGUGUCGUGAGAUGUUGGGUUAAGUCCCGCAACGAGCGCAACCCCUAUAGCUAGUUGCCAGCACAUAGUGGGGCACUCUAGUGAGACUGCCGGUGACAAACCGGAGGAAGGUGGGGAUGACGUCAAAUCAUCAUGCCCCUUAUGAUCUGGGCUACACACGUGCUACAAUGGUCGGUACAACGAGCAGCGAAGUCGUAAGAUGGAGCGAAUCCUAAAAAGCCGAUCCCAGUUCGGAUUGCAGGCUGCAACCCGCCUACGUGAAGCCGGAGUUGCUAGUAAUCGCGAAUCAGAAUGUCGCGGUGAAUGCGUUCCCGGGUCUUGUACACACCGCCCGUCACACCAUGGAAGUUGGGGGGACCCGAAGCCAGUGAUCCAACCGUAAGGAGGAAGCUGUCGAAGGUAAAACCAAUGACUGGGGUGAAGUCGUAACAAGGUAACC